AACUUUCGACAAUGGAUCUCUUGGUUCUGGCAUCGAUGAAGAACGCAGCGAAAUGCGAUAAGUAAUGUGAAUUGCAGAAUUCAGUGUAUCAUCGAAUCUUUGAACGCACAUUGCGCCCCUUGGUAUUCCGAGGGGCAUGCCUGUUCGAGCGUCAUUACAACCCUCAAGCCUUGCUUGGUAUUGGGCGCCGCUGCUUACCCAGCGCGCCUUAAAAUCAGUGGCGGUGCCGUCGGGCUUCUGAUAGCAGUAAACAUCCUCGCUUUAGGGACCGGUGGACGCUUGUCAUCAAACCCAACUUUUUUAGUUUGACCUCGGAUCAGGUAGGGAUACCCGAUGAACUUAAUCAUAUCAAUAAGCGGAGGCU
RNAcentral lists this unclassified non-coding RNA (364 nucleotides) under uncultured Helotiales. RNAcentral describes it as "sequence contains ITS2". The stretch from base 1 to 154 matches the Rfam family "5.8S ribosomal RNA". Lineage: Eukaryota; Fungi; Ascomycota; Leotiomycetes; Helotiales. The record is from RNAcentral.